RNAcentral lists this ribosomal RNA (253 nucleotides) under uncultured bacterium. RNAcentral describes it as "partial 16S ribosomal RNA". It matches the Rfam family "Bacterial small subunit ribosomal RNA", at positions 524 to 776 of the family's 1533-position model. The record is from RNAcentral.
GACAGAGGGGGCAAGCGUUGCUCGGAAUUACUGGGCGUAAAGGGUGCGUAGGCGGGUUAUUAAGUCAGAGGUGAAAUCCUGGAGCUCAACUCCAGAACUGCCUUUGAUACUGAUAGUCUUGAGUAUGGGAGAGGUGAGUGGAACUGCGAGUGUAGAGGUGAAAUUCGUAGAUAUUCGCAAGAACACCAGUGGCGAAGGCGGCUCACUGGCCCAUUACUGACGCUGAGGCACGAAAGCGUGGGGAGCAAACAGG